Molecule: long non-coding RNA, 774 nt
Organism: Panicum hallii
Lineage: Eukaryota; Viridiplantae; Streptophyta; Magnoliopsida; Poales; Poaceae
Exons: 3
Source: RefSeq, a predicted model, not a curated record
UGUGAAUCCUUAGGAAACAUAGAGCUUCUUAUCUCGAAGUAGCUUUGUUAAGCCAUAUAAGCUGGCAAAAUCAGAAACUUUUGUUGGCCAAGGAUGCAUCAAGCUGGCUGUGAUGGAUGGGUAAUCAUCUGCACAUUUAGCGUUUGUGCUCUUCAGGUGCAAGCGACUGGUGCAUGCAUUGACCCUUUGGUUGGGUCACACGCUCUGUGUAGGUGCAGGGUCUGUCUUAUUGGUACCAGGACAGCAGAGCUCCUUUUCUGGAGGAAUUGCAUGCUGGGCAGUAUAGAAGCCUGUGAUGCCUCCCAUUUGUGAUUUAUGGGCGUGUUCCCAGUUCCCAGAACACGAUGAUUGAUGAAGUAAGCAAGCAUCUAUACAUCUCGAGAGUUGGCGGCGAUUGUAUCUCAGAAGGCAACACCGAAGAGCCUUACAAGUACAACGCUGGCAGAUUGAAAACCCAGCUGGGGAUGCAUUCUAGGUCAGCGACUUUAGUUUUCUUCCCACCCAGAACAAGUGAAACUUGCACCCCGGCUCCCAGCAGACAAUGAUGCGACGGAAGUGGAGAGGGUGUGGUCAAAAUCAGCAUACCGUCUAUGCAGUCUGGUUCUGGUGUGUCUUGGAGUGGAGCACGGCAUGCCCUGUCCUGCUUGGGAAUAACUUGGGAUGCGACGCUCAAUUUAGUGGCAGUUCAAUUCGUAAUUUCAGAAUCCACUUAUAUGUUUGUAUAUAAAAAGUGCGUGGUGAACCCAUGAACCUAUGCCCGUGCAGUAAAAUUAA